This is an RNA transcript of Pristis pectinata (smalltooth sawfish), 6727 nucleotides long. It is a transcript of the gene named leucine-rich repeats and calponin homology (CH) domain containing 1, with no coding region annotated. Lineage: Eukaryota; Metazoa; Chordata; Chondrichthyes; Rhinopristiformes; Pristidae. The transcript is spliced from 23 exons. The record is from RefSeq and is a predicted model, not a curated record.
GGCGGAGCUGUCUCUCCUCAGUGAGGGGCAGGGACCAGUGGAGGGGCGGGGCCGUCGUGCGGCGUUGUCCCCGUCCUGCGGUUCCCGCUGCCACCAGCAGGCCGCGCUGCCGCUCUCCUCCCCUGCUCCGCCCGCCGGGCUCCGGGCUCCGCCUCACUCGGCUUUCCUCUGGCGGGCGGUGCGCAGUGGGAAAUGAGGAGCGGUGGACCGGCGGGGCCUGAGCGACAGCCGUAUUGAGCCGGCGGGGCUGGGCGACCAUGGCGGCGGAAGGCCCAGGUCCGGGCGCGGGUCUCAGCGGCGGGGGCGCGGCCCCACUGGCCCGCAGUCUGGAGCGGGCGCUGGCCGAGGCCGCGGGCUCCGGGACCCUGGGUUUGAGCGGCCGCAAACUGAAGGAGUUCCCGCGGAGCGCGGUCGGACACGACCUGAGCGACACCGUGCAAGCAGAUCUGUCGAAGAACAGACUGAGUGAAAUUCCACUGGAAGUGUGCCACUUUAUCUCCUUGGAGAUCUUGAACCUAUAUCACAACUGCAUCAAAGUCAUUCCAGAUGCAGUCAUCAAUCUGCAGGCAUUGACGAAUUUAAACCUGAGUCGAAAUCAACUCUCUACAUUGCCAUUGUGCAUCUGUGCCCUCCCUCUUAAAGUCUUGGUAGUCAGCAACAAUAAGUUGGUGUCGCUUCCAGAAGAUAUUGGACAGUUGAAGUGUUUAAUGGAACUGGACGUGAGUUGCAAUGAAAUUACAGCCUUGCCACAACAGAUGGGACAACUUCAAUUGCUCAGAGAGUUGAACGUCAGGAGAAAUUAUCUGCAGAUUUUGCCAGGGGAGCUAGCAGACCUCCCUCUUGUGAAAUUAGAUUUUUCCUGUAAUAAGAUUGUGUCGAUACCAAUCUGCUACAGAAACAUGAAGCAUCUACAGAUAAUAGAAAUGGAUAAUAAUCCACUGCAGUCUCCACCUGCACAGAUCUGCAUAAAGGGUAAAGUGCACAUAUUCAAGUACCUGAACAUAGAGGCGUGUAGAAUUGAUAAGACUGCGGAAUGUCUUUAUCAACCGCCAAUGGAAAAGACCUGUGUUCCACAGCCCGUUUCUGGGAGCAUUGAAGACAUUUAUCCUGACAAAAAACAAGAUUUUGACUCUGGGAUUGGAAGUGACAAUGGGGAUAAACGCCUCUCUGCAACUGAACCUUCAGAUGAAGAUACAGCCAGUCUGACCCUUCAAAUGGCACAUAUCUCAGAGGAAGAUCACUUGAAUAAACAGGAGGAAUAUUUGAAUGUUGGAUCAAUGAAAGUGGAAUCUGAUCAGGAACCGAAGGAUUUGCUGCAGAAUAAUGCAGAAGUGGAAGAAAGGUUGGCUAGCCAGGAUGAUGGCUUGAGUUCUGAAUUUAGGACUUACAUGAAGGGAAGGGAGCCUGAGGAACCACUGAGAAUUGAGGAAGAUUCAAGUUGGACAAUAGAACAAAUACCAAACACAGAUGACCAUCUGGACAUUGAACCAGAGGUGGCAGAACAUAUGAGUUCUCCGGAAGGCAUUGUCCAGGAACAGCAGAGGUUGAAUCUGAAUCUUAAGGAUAUUAGUGGAGUAGAUCUUUAUCCUCUACAAUUAGAAAAAACAGCCUGCUUGGAACUUCAGACAUCACCAGUAAAUGGUGAGACACCAAAAAUUAACCCUUCAGCAAAGUUCUCCAGUUACCAGGACCUUGCCCCAUUUUGUGUAGAUGAGGAUUCUCCAUCUGAGAAAGGAAGUUCCAUGGUGGAGCUGGAGUUUCAGAGGAAGCGUGAGGUCAUGCUGGAGAAAGCAAGGCACGAAGCUCAGGUUGCAUCCCAACGGCUGGAAUGGCAGAGGUCCAAGCAGAAUACUAAUGAGAGUGUGGAGAAGAAUGAGUCACAAAAUGAGGAUGAAGAGAAGACUCCCACAGUCACACCCACAUUGUCUCCUGUUGCAUCGCCCACAGCCCCCUUUGGACUGAAGCCAAGAUCUGUCAAAGCAAACUCCUCUUUGGACUCCCCUCCUCCCUUCUUCAGAAAAUUGUCACAGACCCACAUAGAGGAACUCAACACCGCCAGUACCCCACAGGAGGAAGACAGAAGUCAUGCUUUCUUUCGGUCAAUGCGGAAUUUUGACUCCAUAGAUCCUCAAUUUACCAUCCGUAGAAAAAUGGAGCAGAUGAGAGAGGAAAAAGAACAUAUAGAACAACUCCGGGAGAACAUUGAAACCAGACUGAAAAUUAAUCUGCCAGAAGAAAUCGGAGCAGCCUUGAUGGAUGGAGUGGUUCUGUGUCAUUUAGUCAAUCAGAUCCGGCCAAGAUCCGUGCUCAGUAUACAUGUACCGUCACCUGCAGUGCCUAAACUAAGCAUGGCAAAAUGCAGGAGAAAUGUGGAAAACUUCCUCGAAGCUUGCAGGAAAAUUGGAGUACCCGAGGCUGACCUCUGCUCUCCGUACGACAUCCUGCAGUCGGACGUCCACACCAUUCAAAGGACUGUUGCCGCACUGCUGACACACAGGGAGAAAGUCCAACAGCCAACACCAGCCUUUCUCACAUGGGAUCUGUUUGGCUUUUGUGUAUUCCACGCUUUCUUUUUAGUGCUGCUAUAUAUAACUUACAACUGGAGCGUAUUGGUUUAGAACAUUGCAUGUGCAUAUAUCCUUGCACCGUGUGUAUAAUCCAGUUACAGGAGAAGCUAUGUUUGCCCCAUCAUAUACUAGAAGGAAAAGGGUUGCUGAAAGUAAGUAUGACUGUUCAAGCACUGCUAGACUGGGCCCUUACCAGAUCCCCAUUGUUUACGUGAAUCCAGAGCCACAGUGCUGCCAACCUCCUGAAGUCCAGCGAGCAACACAGCCUCAAGCCCAGGGCGAGGACAUGACGUACGAAAGGUGGACACUUUUCCUCAGCUGACAUGUGGAGUCAUUUCUGUACACUAGCAACAUUUGUUUUAAAAGCAUAACUAAAAACUACAUAUGUCACAAUAUUUAAUCAAUACAUUAACUUUGCAACUACAGAUAGAUACAGCUUUUGCAGAAGUGGGGGAAAGCCAAAUCUCUGAGUAUGUUUUAAUGUAUUAAAGAAACACGAUUUUGUUGUGCUAAUUUGUUUAGUUGCCAUAAUAUAACAUUGGCUUUUGGUUGUGAAGAAGUUUAGAAUGUGGUCAUAAGUUAUUUAUAUUAUUUAUUCAGGAUAUGUUUUACCCAUCCAUUGAGAUGAUUGUAAAUUUGAAAGACUUGCAGCUAAAACUGCUUUUUAAAGAUUGGAACAAUUUUAUUUUAUGGUGGCAGUUUGGUCAUUUUAGUUAGCACUUGGUUUCGUCUGUUGAACAACCCUAAGGCUUCCUUGAGAAUAUGCUGGUUAUCUUCAUGUGAAAUGAUCUAGUGAGAGAGAAGGGUGGUCACUCAUUUGAUGCAGUGUGUCGAACAGUGUCUCAAACUGAUCACUGCUGAAAGUAAAAUCACAGGGAACAGUUAGUACAGUUUAAACCAAAUUGACCAAGUCUCUGUCGACACUCGAUUAGUUCCUCUGGGUGCUGUAUUCCUUUAGCACAUUCCAGAUCAUGCAUCCCUGGUUCAGAUAGACUGGUUGGCUGACUUCAGUUCAGAAAUGGAAACAGUAUGAUUUUGACUUUCCAAAUGGAUAUGGCAAAUUGAAGAACAGGAUCUUAAUGACACAUUGCUCAGAUGAGUAGUCUAGGGUAACUCAAGCUGUUACCAAACAGCAGGAGCAGGGAGAGGCACUUCAUUUCCUGUGCAGGGAAUCAGUGGAGUGUUUCCUAGUCCAAUGUGCCUUGUUGCUCUGACAUUUGUGAUUGACUUAAUACUACAGAAUCUUAAAGUUUACAUCAAAAGGCCAUUUCAUUGCAUAGUAAGAUUGAUAUUACCAUACUUAAUAUUGCAACAAUACCAAAAACUCAACUCAGAUUAGCUCUGUGAAAAAGCCUGUUUUUUUUUGUUGUGGAUGUGUGAACUCAGACUCUAGAUUUUACCACACUUAAUCUAUUACCUUGUGCUGCAACACAAAACUCAAUGCAAUUUAUUCAGCUGACCAGUCACCUUCCCACUGCACCUGCUGGUGGUAUAUUAUGUAAAUAUGCAAGUAGUUUUACUGAAUUCAGUGAGAGCUGCAGGAACUAACUGAAGAUUUAUAAGCCAAACCCAAAUGCUAGUCAUUAGACUUCAUUGCCAAUUUAGGGGACCAAUUAAAAAUGUAAAAGUACUCAGGAAUCAUUGCCCUACCAAAAGAUGUUGAGUCACAAGCUGUUCGUGUGCCAGUCUUCGGAAAGCAGUUUCAGUAGUUUCACACUGCUUCCAGUUAACGUGAAUGAAGCUGUGUGUCCGUGGUGGCCAACCCUUAAGUUUACUCACUGGAAGCAGAUUGCAUUUCAACGCAUACGGGAAAGGUAGAGCUGACACUAAAAGAGCAGAAAUGUAACCACUAUUUAAAAAGAAAAACAGCCAGUUCUAAACAAAGGGAAAGCUUUAUCCUCUCAGAAGUACCAGCUGCCAGGAAUAGUGGUCGGUUGGGAUUGCUGUAAAUGGGAAGGGGCAGUGGGGAUGGGGGAGCUGCGUAGAGAACCCAUCUCCAACUGCCUGAAGAGUGGGGUCAGAGGCAAAGCUCCCCACAGAUCUGAAAACAAUUGUGUAUGAUUCUGCUCCUUUCUGAAUGUGGAUCUUUUGCUGCAGUUUGUUCUAAUAAAGACGCAUGAGGUAUAAAUGCAUCAAAUGUACUCCAGCGCAUUUCUCUUCAGCUUGGAUGAUUACAUUAUAUCAUCAGCAGAUGACGUACAAAUCUGAUUGAUAUGCUGUCAGCAUUUUGCUGGGAUGGGCAUCCUUUCUAUCAUUUGUAGGGCUUCUGUGAUGUAGAAACUGACAGGGCUGGUGCACAGGUGAGGAGAGAUGGGGGUGGGAGGGAAGUCAGUGGGCUGACUACCCUCACACAAAGAACAUUAACAGGAGAGAGUUUUCAUUGAUGAAAGGAUUAAAAGAUGCUCUACCAACUGCUGACAUAGGAAAUUCAUUGCAGAAAAUUAUUGUGAUAGGGUAACUUAGAGCAAGAAUAACAGAUGUGGUUUCAUCACAAAUAUUUGUUUUGUCUUAAAUAUUCUGUAGCAAUGGCAGUGCUGUUAAUGAUGAAUAGUGUGGGAAGAGGAUAGCAGAGAGAAGUGGGGUGGGGGCGGGGUGGUGCUAUCAAGAAUGGGGAGGCACUGUGGAGAAUAGGGGUGGGGCUAUUGAUAAUGGGGCAGGACUGUGAAUGCGGGCAGGGCAGUGUGGAUGGGCAGAACUGUGGGGGUGGAGCCGAGGUGUGGAGGGAAAUAGAGCCACAGGAUUCCCCGUGGUGACAGGAAUCCAGCAACAAGUAAAGGAGUUUAAUUACACUUCUGCCUGCCAACCUCAAACAAAAUUAGCUUGAUAAUGGGAAUUAUGUUCAUGGAAAUGGUAUUUUGGUAAUUAUUGCUAUUAUUCUUCUUGGUAUCAAUUUUGUUAGUGAGUGAAAUGUGGGGCAGAGGGGGACAACCGAGUGCUUCAGUCAGGAUGAACAAUACCCAUGCAAUAGGCGAGAGUGUUGUAUAGGGACUGGAGGGGUUACACUUCAGUACUUAAACCACUUAUUUGCGCCACACGUCUGUGUAGCAUCAACACAGUCAUUCAAUUUUUACUUUUGGGGAUGUCCCCGAGCACAGAUAAUGGAUUUUGUGAAAUUGAGAUAGGACCUGAAUCCCUGGUUUGCACCCAGGAAGUGUGAUGUAUAUUGAGAAUGUCGGCAGUAUGUAAUAACUUGAGGGCUUGUGAUGUGCUGCAAAAGGAGAUUGUUAUCUGAAAAUAAGCGAGUGUGGGUACACACCCUCAUGAAUAUCAACAGCAUUCUUCCAAUUAUCCUAAGGCACAAACUCACCAAACCAUCUUAUGAUUCCAAAUAAAUGAAAAUAGUACAGUCUCUUGAGGCAUCUGUCUAUGAAGGAGAGGCAGUGUUGAUAUUUGAGGGAAAAGAUGGGAUCAAGCAGGAAGGUCCGUUAGUUGUGUUAUGACAGUGUGCAUUCAAAAAUGAUACAUUCUUAAACGGAACAAAUCAGGAGUUUAGUUCAGUUCCACUCCCAUGUGAGUUCUCUGUUCUGAAAUAAAAUCCAGAUUAUAAUCCCAGCCCUGAACAAGAAUUGUUUACUGUAGUUUUAGGUGGGUAUAAAUAGAAAAAUCAGCAGGGCACUACAAUGGAACUAUGCACUUAAUUGGAUUUCUAUUAGGAGGCAAAAGCGAUCUUUGUUUAACAAAUGCAGGCUGUUUUGUACCAGAAGUUUAAAGUCUAGUGGAAGCACAAUUGGUAGAUGAGGAGAACUUCUGAUUUGCAUCUUCCAGAUGAGCCCUGCUGUGGAAAUGCAAUUUACAGAGUGAUGUAUUUACAUGUAUAUAAUGACCUCAUGCUUUUUUAUUUCGAGAUUGAGUAUUUGCUGUUGGAAUGACAUUGGGUAAUCAGGUUUUCAUUGUUCACAGCUGGCUUUCAGCAUGUAUUGUGUAAAAAAAAUGUUCUAUCUUUUAAUAUUUUGUAAAAUUGCAGUUUUUAGAGUGAUCGAUUUCUGGGGAACCCAGUUCCACUUGUAUGGCCAAAAGAUCUUCUGAUGUCUGUAUAUAGUUUGGGGAAUGUAUUUUGCAUGUGUGGCCUUUGAUGUUAUCUAAAGCCAUUGUACAUAGUGUAUAUUAUGUAGAAAUCACUUCUAUUGUAACAUCAAUAAUAAAGUCAUGUUAUUUGCAUA